Vidua chalybeata is the source of this 3685-nucleotide long non-coding RNA. RefSeq lists it as uncharacterized. The record is from RefSeq and is a predicted model, not a curated record. The transcript has 6 exons. NCBI's taxonomy places the organism in Eukaryota, Metazoa, Chordata, Aves, Passeriformes, Viduidae.
GGCACCUGGCAAUGCAGAGCACAAAUACAUGCCAUGUUCUGUAAUACAGUGGGGAAGAGCUGCACCACACUGAAAACCUUCAAUACACAUUGGUGUUCCCUACCUGCCUUGUCCUUUAACAAGAGGAGACAUUGCUCACAGAACUGAAGACAGGGGUUGUAGGCCCUGUGCCAACAAAGGAAAGGAAUGAAAUAACACCUCUCACAGCUGACUUCCCUGAGCAUCUGAUAGGUGAAGAUUCCCAUAGUGCAUGACAGCCCCUGUCAGCUUGUAGAUGGCUGUCUUUUCAUCAGCAGUGAAGCCCAGGAUGUCAAUGGCACUCUGUCUUGACAGUGACUUUGCCCGAUUCCCUGCUCGUGAUUGUCCCUUUCACAAAGGAUUCUUUGGGAUGCACCACAAAGACAGAUGACUUGGCAUCAAAAGGUGAUAAAUAUAUUUUUUGUCUGGAGUAAGAAAAUGGAUAUCUAAGAAAGCUGAGAAUUCUGGCACUCUACAAAGGUGGUUAGAAGGGUGAACUUCACUGAACUUCACAGAAGCAAACCACAGCAGAGAUAAAUGGAUGGCAGGAGGCAGGCUGGAAGCCAUCUCUGGAUACAGACUGUGCUGCACAGCAAUGCAGUGUCGUCAAGGUGCACAUUCCCCAUGGAGGAGAAAGGAUUCAGUCGUGCUGAAAAUAGAUCCUUCUUGAGACAGUGAUCAGACAGCUGCUCCCUUUCUGCCAGGGCCUAAGAUGUGGAUUUUGUUCCCCCUAUCCCAGCAGUUAACUGAGAGAUAGGGAGUGAGGAGGCACUUUUUAGCCAGGCAGCAGCCAGGCUGGGGAGGGCAAGAGGAAGUUCCUGCAGGGGCUGUGUGUUGGCCACUGGGAACCUCCCCCUCCUGCCUGUUCAGACUCACCAAGCUCAUGAACUGGAAACACAAGAAUGGCCUGUAUGGGCAGAGGUUUUGCAGCAGGAAAAGGAAUGGUUUUUUGUAGUCUUUGCCCCUGGAAGCUACUCAGGCUAUAUGCUCUGUGAUUCCCUAAGACAGACGGCCCUCCAAGGUGAUCCCUCUGGCUGGGGAAGUCUCCAGGUGUUCCCUCCAGGUGGCCACUCCAUGGCUAUCAGUGAAUUCUUUGAUUUCACUUCACUCAAUUAACAGACAGUUAAUUCCAUGCCACUUGCCAAAGCAUAUCCCUCCUGAACACCAAAUCCAUAAUACUGCUUCUCAUGAACUUCAGCUGAAAUGUCCUCGGCAGAAGCAGCAGGCUUUGGUUGCUUUCAGUCCUUGAAGAGCAGAGUGACCUGCAGGCAGAGUCAGAGGUCUGUGGAACUCAUUGGGGCAGCAAAAUGCAUCACAUCACAUCAGGAAGGAGCUCCACCAGGUGAGGAGCAGCAGGGCAGGCAGAGUACAGGAGAUUCUUCUCAUUACCACAGGCUGGACAUAUUCUCAGUGGUAACUGCAUGCUGGUGAGCAUUUCUCCAUGUCCAUAACAGGAAUUUAGGGUUGUGGUUCAAACUUUUUUUUUCAUUAUGAGUUGCCAGGCAUGAUUUUUCAGAGAUAUGUGUAUGAUACAGCAUUAGCAUCACCUUUGUGGGCUAUUUCUGACAAUAUCACAACACUGAAGGAAGUAAGACUGCAUGAUGUCUCUGCCCAUGUCAGAGAGAUUGGAUUAGGUGAGAUUUAAAGGUCUCUUCAACCCAAACCCUUCGGUGAUCUGUGUGGCUCUCUGAAUGGCUGUCCUGGGUGAGUCCAAAGGAACAGGCAGACUCUCACACCCAAGACAUUUGUCAUCAUCCCACUCUCCUCAGACACCCAGGCUCUGCAUGAUAUUCCACUCAGGUGGUAAGGCCUUCUAGAAAACAAACCAUCUCAAGGUGGUGAAAAAUGUCAUAUCAAUGGAGAAAAAACAACUUACACUUGGGAAACUGUACUGAAAACAACAAUGCAUUCCGUGUCCCUGCCAGUAAUAGGAGACAAGCCCAAGCACAUUCCUACUAUCUCUAUAUGAAGCCCAAGAAGCCUUUGGCCUUCUCAGGUCUCAGUGACCUAUUUGUAUCCCCACGUGGAGCCUGUAAUGGUCAUGGGAUAGAGCAAAUAUCCUCUUCAACAGAGAUCCCCUUGCACACCCUGUUAGUGAGCCCUGGGAGGCUGGAGAGAGCUCGGGGCUGCUCAGCUUCUGCUGCAGUAGGAAACCUCCUGCCUGGAGAGCAGGCUCAGGUGCCUUACACAGACAGAGGUCUCCUUGUGUGUGGGGACAGGUCACUGCAGCUCCUCCUCACGUGGUCAGGGUCUCUGAUGCCCGACAAGGAAUUGAGAUGUGCUCAGGGCCAUGGGGGCCACCAGGAAUGAGCAGGAUCUGUAUGGAUGUGCCGUAGUUGAGACAGUCACAAUACAAAGCAACACUCCGUUUUCAGAAGGCUUCAGACUGGUUUUAUUACAGCACGCAUGCUGUAUGUACAUGUUUUAUUACAACACACAUGCUCUUACAAAACUCGUAAGUUUACACUUUACUCGUUGGUCACAAAGGACAAGCAAAGUGCUCAUUGGAACAGGCAGUUGUAGGUUUCUCUUAUUUAUCCUUCUUUCUUUCUUGGUUUCUAUGUCGAUGACCUUGGUAGAAAAUUCUUUCAGGGGUAAACAUGGAUCCUAUUCUCAAGCUUCUCUCUGGCUCACAGAAGUUGCUGUAAAACCUCUUCCACAUGGAUGUGCUGCUCCUCUGAGCACAUAUUACAGCUAAGGUGGAAGAAAGGCAGUCCUGCAUGUGGUGGGUAACUGCUGGUGAUUACUCUGCCCUACUUCAACCAAAUCAAUUUGCUGGGUGACUGGUGCCCAGACCCUGAUAAACCAUGGUAGAUAUUCCAUAAGAUACAACCUACAUGCAUCUGUUCAUUGCUUACAUAUACGUUUGAUGUGCUAUCAGCUCCCUUAAUGCCAUGUCACACAGGGAACAGGCUUGGAGACAAGCAGCUGUGCUUGGGCAUGCUUCUCAAGUUGUGUCCCUCUCAGUGACAGUGGGUGAGACUCAAGAGUGGCACAGACCAGCUCACAGAGCCGUGGGGAGACAGGUAAAGCAGCAAACUUUCAUUUGGGGGUGAGAACUCUCCAUUCAGUAUCAGAGCUGUUUAUCAGACUCCUCACAUUCCCAGAAAACGCCGGCGGAAGAGCUGCCCUAGGAGGUGACAUUCAGGAUGUCCUUUCUGUCACCCACCACAGCAGCUGAGGAGCUCCUGUUACAGAGCAGGGGAGUGGGGUGGGCAGGCUAAGACGCCUCCGGGUAAGACAAAGUCAAAAGAAGGCAAGUGGCAAAAGGGGGAGGGAAGGAGAACUAGGAUUAGGUGCAUAAUAUUAGCACAAGCAGCAACUGUAGCCUAAAAAAGACAGCAAUGGGGUGGUGUCUUCCUCGGCUGGCACUCAUUUGGGACAGAUGCACAAAUCCUACUUCUGGGCAGAUUUCAGUGCUCUAAAUGGAAAUAAACUGAUAUGGAAUUUCUAUAAAUCUGCUCACUUUAAAAAUUAGGCUUUCAAGACUAAGACAACCCUGUGGAUUAUCACAGAAUUUUCUGAGUGACACUCACUGUAGUGAAGUUGCCAACAGGAUACACAGCAGACUUUUCUAGCGACAUUUCUGAACUUGUUCUUGCAGAAAAAUUCCUUUUGCAUCCUUAGGAAAUUUAUUAAAGGUUUCAUUAUUUUAUAUUGGAAGACA